GCUUCCCACUCACCCGGUGAACUUUCUCACUCAGAACCAACCAGCUACUGGCCUGGAUUUUUGGUUCAGUCAUACUGCUUUCUCUGAUCUUUGGCAAGUUCUAGCUCUAGCCCAGCACUGUCCAAUCGAACUUUCUGCAAUGAUGGGAAUAUUCUAUAUCUGCUCUAUCCUAUGUGAAUAGUGUGGCCAAGGAAUUGGAUUUUACAUUUUAUUUAAUUAUAACUAGAUAAAUUUAAUUAUUUAGCCAAUGUGGCUAGCGGCCACUUUCUUGGGGAGUGUAGAUAUAAAACGCUUCCAACAAUACACUGAAGAGACAGCAAUUAUUAACUGAGGUUAAGUGGAGAUUUGAGGAUUUAAAGAAAGUUUUCCUGAAGAGUGAAUAGUUUGCUCUUUAGGGAUUAGGUAAAUGUGGAGGGGGGAUAUUACUGGAUCAUUUUGUAGCAUUCCCUUUUUUCACAUGUCACUAUUGUUUAGAAAUUGUGAUCUUUGGGAAGACUUUAAACAUAUUUGAGCCUCAUUUUGCUCAUCUCUUUACAGAUGGGAAUGCCACAUCUUUUGCAAGGUUUAUGUUAGAAACAAAUGAUAUCAUUUUCUAAACACUUGGUAAACAGUAGCAUGCUGUACAAUAACUUAAAUCACAUGUUAUCAAAACAAUUAUUUAUUGGCUACUACCUAUGUAUUUUCAGCAAGGAGGUAUGAAAAUAUAAAAUGUAUGGUCUGUACCUAAAAAACUUACCUGAAAAGAGUUCACACACAAGCGUAUGAACUGUGAGAUCAAUUGUGAAGACAGCCAAGAAUCCAAAAGUGGGUUUGCACCAAGAAGAGGGAGAGGCAGAAAAAGCAAGAAAAGGGGCCUGUAGUGAGAAGUUGAAAAUUUGUGCAAAAGAAGAAGCUACCCAUAGAGGCCACUGCUUCUCAAAUUUUUCUGUGCCUAUGAAUCAUCUGGAGAUCGAUCUUACUAAAAUGCGAUUUGGGUCCAGAAGCUCUGGAGUGGGACCUGACAUUCUCCAUUUCUAACAUGCUCCAGGUGAUGCCCACGCUGCUGGUCCACUUACCACACUUUACAACGUUUAAAGCUACCCCAGCCCUCACAUAAAAGCUCCACACCGCCAGAUGCCUUGAUAAAUUUACUUUACAUUUUUAUCUUUUAAAGCAUCUGAAACCGUCACUAAAUAUGUGUGCACUUAAAUAUUUGGUUAAUAACUAUGACUAUGUCCUUGGCAGUGCAGGGCAGAAGUAGGCAACCUGGGACUAAGAGACGAUAGGUUUGGGAUGGAAUACUGUGAAUUCUAAUCAAAAACUUUCUUUUCCUUCAUUUCCCACCCCACUCUCUCACACGUGUUCAUCAACAUGGGGAAACACUGAAGUAAGAGAAUUCUGGGUAAAAGGACAGAAUGAAAGUGUCUGGUACUCUGAACUUCUACCCAUUAUUUAGGGGGCAUUCUCGACUUUAAAAGGGCUCUGAAAACAAAGUCAAUGCUUCCAGGUUUGUGCUAGCAUUGGCACAAAUCCCAAAGACACAUCAAGUAAAAAUGACAGUAUGGAAAGCUAGAAAAAUAACUGUCCGACCUUCUGUAUUAUCAUAGAACUACACAUGCUGGGUUUGACAUAAAACGUGGUCUUAUUAAAAAGUCAAAUAAAGAUGCUCCAACUGGAAUAGAAAAUAAUCUUAGGAUGAACCAUUUAGGCUUCUACUUGAAGCAAACUUCCAAUAGCGUUCAACUAGGGUUUGGUUCCACUACAAACGGACCUACUUGGCCCUUUCUGGGGGUAGAAAUUAGGAGUGGUCGAAUGGAUGUAGUUCAGUCUUAAGCAAAUUAGCAGUCUUCUCUUGUUCUGGGCUAAAAAUGAAGCCGCCAGCUGUUUCUCAUGCUCAGAUCACAGAAAGAGACCUGUCAAAAUAUCCCAUACCUCUUCACUUUAUAGGUGAGGAAACUGAAGCCCACAGAAAUUAGCUAAAGGUCCCAAAGAGUCAGUAGUAGCCUCAGCCUCUAAGAUGUUCCACUGUCCACUGUUUCUGCCAUUUUUUUCUUUCAACAGAUGCUUAUUUGAGAACCCUAUGGUUACCUACUAGGAUCUGAACCAAGAAAGCACUUAGGCAUUGUGUGUCCGUGUGUGUGUGUGUGUGUGGGUUUUAGGGGUCAGAGACAAGGUCUUAAAAUCCUAACGACAGACAUAAGAAAGGGAUAUUAGGAGUGUCUGAGUCACUUCAUUGCUAGCUGAUGAAACUCACUGAGAACUUCACAAGAACAGAGAAUAAAGCUGCUGUAUUUAUAAGAACACACUGCUUUGUCUUUAGACAUACAGGGCUCAUAGUCCACUGAGGUUCAACACAUCCAAAGACCAAGCUCACCUUGGCUUUCCAUCCUCUUCCCCAAAAUUCAUUUCUUCCUUUUGUAUUCCAACCUCAACUGGACGCAUCACUACUAAAUCGGUUUUGCUCAAAACGUUUUUUUCACCAUCCAACCCUCUCUUUAAAUUUCAUCUCCUCUUCCUUGUGCUCCAACUGAUAGUAUAAACUCUCAUCAGGUUUGCCUCAGUUACUUCAACAGUCUUAAUAUCUACUGUUUCCAUUCUCAGCCUCUCAAAUCACAAUCAUUUUAAGACAUCUACAAAUUGUUAUUAAUUUCACAUUGCAAUUAACGUCAUGUUAUUUUGUUCAAAUCCUUUAAAGCCUCUCAGCUGCCUAAGGACUCGAGUCCAAACUCAAUAGCAUUCAUGGUUGGGUCCUCGCCCAUCGAUCUCUACAGUCAUCUCAUCCACCCCAGUGCUUCCCUUUCAUUGCAGCCUACCACACUCUUUGUAGGUCCCUGGAAACAUGACUGCAUCCAUCUAUGCCCUUCAUGUUCUCCUUGGUAUUCUUUCUAUCUGGACAGCUGCCGGGCAUCCUCUUUUGGGAGCUAUCUUGACCCUCAGAGCUAAUUACUCAAUUUCAGAAUUUUCUCUACACAAAAACUUUAUGACAACAGUCAUUCAGAAAGAAACUUGAUCUGAAUGGUUUGGUUAAUAAGAAACGAGAAACUACUGGGGUAAAAUAUAAGUGCACAUUCCAGAAAAUGCCCAGUGCAGUUUCAGUUAGUGUAUGGUAUGAAAACUCAUUAUGAGUAAACAAGAACUGGGUGAAAAAUUGUAAUUUAUUGAAACUCAACUCAAAAAAUAUAAGAUGCUGUAGUGUACAAUAUAUUACACAAAGCACCCUCAGGUGCACAUUCAAGUCAAGUAAGAACUCCAUAUCCCUUUCCCUAGCCCUCCCACCCUGGGAUCUUAGUAUUUGUUCCAUAUACAAUCAUGCACACUUAAUUUGAAAAAGGAAGCCCCAAUAUAUUUUGAUGUAUUAAUUAGCACCAAACAAGAGUACAGUUCCAUUUCUUUUUUUAAUAAACAAAAACAAAAA
Felis catus (domestic cat) is the source of this 3394-nucleotide long non-coding RNA. RefSeq lists it as uncharacterized. NCBI's taxonomy places the organism in Eukaryota, Metazoa, Chordata, Mammalia, Carnivora, Felidae. The transcript is spliced from 3 exons. The record is from RefSeq and is a predicted model, not a curated record.